CCAUAAACUUCUUGUUUUGCAGCUUUGUUUACCAAUUCCCACACUGCCUCCUUAGAACAAAAUUCUUGAUAAAGUUCUAUACCCGUACCAUCUUCCCAUUCUAUAUUCUUCGGAGUACCUUUUACACGAUUUGGAAUAGCUGGAAUAUCAUCAAAAUCAAAAAUACCAUCCACAUCUUCAUCCAAAUGGUUAUCCAUCGACCUUUCCACAGCCACAACUUCCAUACCUGUCACAUUCUGACACACUUCAUUCACCAUAACUUCAUUCACCAUAUCUUCAUUCACCAAAACUUCAUUCACAUCAUUCACCAAAACUUCAUUCUCAUCAUUCACAUCAUUCACCAAAACUUCAUUCACAUCAUUCUCCAAAACUUCAUUCACAUCAUUCUCCAUAACUUCAUUCACAUCAUUCUCCAAAACUUCAUUCACAUCAUUCUCCAAAACUUCAUUCACAUUCACUAGCUCUACAUAAUUCACACCAACUGAACUUCGACGCUCCGGUACUAACACUUCCACCCUCUGGUUAUUGUCACUUAAUAGCUCCACAUGCAAAACUGGAAUACGACCCUCUUCAUCACAUUCUGUUAAAAAAAUGUAUACGUCCUCAUCAUCUACAAUAUAUGUCUCUC
This 628-nucleotide long non-coding RNA is filed under the name Arabidopsis lyrata. Its description in RNAcentral is "long non-coding RNA (ALYR_LNC001294)". The record is from RNAcentral. Lineage: Eukaryota; Viridiplantae; Streptophyta; Magnoliopsida; Brassicales; Brassicaceae.